RNAcentral lists this long non-coding RNA (331 nucleotides) under Sorghum bicolor (sorghum). Its description in RNAcentral is "long non-coding RNA (SBIC_LNC012065)". The record is from RNAcentral. Lineage: Eukaryota; Viridiplantae; Streptophyta; Magnoliopsida; Poales; Poaceae.
CCACCGCUGCUUCAUACCAGCACCGCGGCCGUGGACUGCAUCAUGCAGUGGACUUGCCACCAGAAUGGUUCUGAAUGUGUAAAAUCUUAAUUCAUCAAGCAUAGAACCCACGAAGCAUAAAGAUCCAAAGUCAAUUGCACAAAAACCUAUUCAUUGCACAUAAUAUCAAAGAAAUGCAUAAAAAUCAAAAUCAAAACAAUAUAAAUCCUGCUUACUUGCGUUGAUAGCUUUUUAUUUCAUGCAAACCAUCUAUUCCAUCCAAGGCUACAACCAAAAAAUCAGAUAAAACUCAUACAACUAAGCAUAGAAGAAUUGUGCGCAGAUAAUUAUU